This 441-nucleotide ribosomal RNA is filed under the name Triticum aestivum (bread wheat). RNAcentral's name for it is "partial small subunit ribosomal RNA". Lineage: Eukaryota; Viridiplantae; Streptophyta; Magnoliopsida; Poales; Poaceae. The record is from RNAcentral.
AUGCCUAAGAGAGACACACAGCCACAAUCUCAUGUUAAGAGUAAUAAGCGAUGGAACAAAAGCAUUACAGGUUCUUUACAUGCCCCCUCACGGUUCAUUUUGAUUCCUCAUAGGGAACUAAAAAAAAGCAGCCUCGAGAAGCCCUGGCUAUGGGCACUGACACCGACGCCAUCGUCAACAGUGGGCCACGUGAGGCCGGCGCAAACCCCAUCCAGAUCACCGUUGGUGUCGGGAGGAGGCCGCCAUGGCGCUCCAGGCGUGGCAGGAGCUUGGGGGUACGUAGCUGUCGUCGCUCAUCUUCGGGGACUCGCUAGGCUCGGGAGAGUCACUAGACUCCCAGGAGUCGUCCCUGCUGCCGAGGAAGUCGUCGGCAGGACCCACAGUAGGCGCUGCGCCCGUCGCCUCUCCCUGCUGAUGGUCUCCCCUAGGGUAGCACUCUAA